CGCACGCAGGCGGUCUGUCAAGUCGGAUGUGAAAUCCCCGGGCUCAACCUGGGAACUGCAUUCGAAACUGGCAGGCUUGAGUCUUGUAGAGGGGGGUAGAAUUCCAGGUGUAGCGGUGAAAUGCGUAGAGAUCUGGAGGAAUACCGGUGGCGAAGGCGGCCCCCUGGACAAAGACUGACGCUCAGGUGCGAAAGCGUGGGGAGCAAACAGGAUUAGAUACCCUGGUAGUCCACGCCGUAAACGAUGUCUACUUGGAGGUUGUGCCCUUGAGGCGUGGCUUCCGGAGCUAACGCGUUAAGUAGACCGCCUGGGGAGUACGGCCGCAAGGUUAAAACUCAAAUGAAUUGACGGGGGCCCGCACAAGCGGUGGAGCAUGUGGUUUAAUUCGAUGCAACGCGAAGAACCUUACCUGGUCUUGACAUCCACGGAAGUUUUCAGAGAUGAGAAUGUGCCUUCGGGAACCGUGAGACAGGUGCUGCAUGGCUGUCGUCAGCUCGUGUUGUGAAAUGUUGGGUUAAGUCCCGCAACGAGCGCAAC
RNAcentral lists this ribosomal RNA (537 nucleotides) under Salmonella enterica. RNAcentral describes it as "bacterial SSU rRNA". It matches the Rfam family "Bacterial small subunit ribosomal RNA", at positions 566 to 1102 of the family's 1533-position model. Lineage: Bacteria; Pseudomonadati; Pseudomonadota; Gammaproteobacteria; Enterobacterales; Enterobacteriaceae. The record is from RNAcentral.